UACAGGGGGUGCAAACGUUGCUCGGAAUCAUUGGGCGUAAAGCGCACGUAGGCGGUUCGUUAUGUCGGAUGUGAAAGCCCUUGGCUUAACCGAGGAAGUGCAUCCGAAACUGGCGAGCUAGAGUACGAAAGAGGAUCGCGGAAUUCCCGGUGUAGAGGUGAAAUUCGUAGAUAUCGGGAGGAACACCGGUGGCGAAGGCGGGUCUCUGGGCCGUAACUGACGCUGAGGAGCGAAAGCAUGGGGAGCGAACAGG
RNAcentral lists this ribosomal RNA (253 nucleotides) under uncultured bacterium. Its description in RNAcentral is "partial 16S ribosomal RNA". It matches the Rfam family "Bacterial small subunit ribosomal RNA", at positions 524 to 776 of the family's 1533-position model. The record is from RNAcentral.